GCCCGCCGCCCAGCCGGGCCCCGGGGCUCCGGGCCCCCCCCAGCGCCUCAGCGGGGCCGCCCCGUGCUCCCCUCCCGGCCCCGUUUCCCCCCGCUCCCAGCCCCGGUACCCCCCCGGCACGGCCCCGGGGCUCCCCCCGGCCGUGCCCGCAGCCGGCACCCGGGGUCCGGGGCUGCUCGGGGCGGGGAAUCGGUUGGGGCCCCGGGGUGGUGCCUGGCUCAGGGCAUGGCCCCGGUGCAGGCCCGUGGCCGGGCCGUGUCCUGGCCCUGCCGGGAGCCCGGCUCAGCACCGGGGCUCGGGGCUGCGGGGUGAAGGUGCCCGGACGGAGCCAGGCACCCCGAAGGCCUUUGGGGCUGGCUCGGGGUAACGGGGCAGGUCGCUGGGAUCCCGCUGUCGGCUGAGCCGUCAGGAGCUCGGUGCCUGGUGGGCAGGGAGCCGGGUUCACCUCGCCGGCAGCCCGAUUUACGGGGCUCCCUUCUGCUUCGUGCGGCCUGCGUGCUGCCUGCUCUGCUGGAAGUUGUUUUUGUGCCCCCCGUAUGUGAGCUUAAAGUCCUUAAGCCGGUUCGCAUCCAGCCCGCUCCAUUAAGGAAACUGGAUCUCUGCCGUCCUUUUGAUGAAGCAAGGUUUAUGCCUCCAAGGAAUUUUCGGGAGGGCUUCGUUCUCCACGCCGUCGGCUUUUCGCUGCUGGCACGUUCUGGUUCCUUCUGGGCGCGCAGUGCUGCAGAGCAACACGUGGCACCUCGCAGGGGAGCGCUGCUCACAGGCUGCAAACCCAGACACGCGUUCAUACGGAGUGGGGCCCUUCAGCCUGAAAGCCGGCAGCUCCUGGCACAGCCACGCCGUGUGCGGGGGGCUCGGUGGUGCUUGUUGCACUCUGGUAACACACCUUGAAGUAAACAUGCCCUUUGAGAUCGCGUGGCCACUUGCUUUUUAACUUUUGGGGCCGCUGCCCAUAGCCCGGCACAGUGAGCAGCCCCAGGCAGCAGCACGCCGCUUUUCUCCUCGUCCCCAGCAGCACAGGCUCUUAUCGUGAAGCAGGGGUGGGUGUUUGACACAUUUUCGAAAGUGAAAGGGUUCCGUUUAUUUAUUUGUUUGACACGCCAGGAUUUUAAUGAUUUAAAAAAAAAAUUGGACGUCUCUGGUCACUUUUCCCUGAAGCAGGGGGUGCCAUGUCCCAGGAGAUGCAGGGAGGCUGUGUGCUGAAUCAGAAAUGUGGCUUCAGUGCUGUCUGCUGCUCACGCUCGGCUGCUUGUGUUCCCCUGCACACACCACGGGCACAGCGAUGCACUUUGCUGAGCGUUUGUGCGUGUUCUGGGUCCUAAGAUUUCUGAGCGAGGGUUUGAGAAGAGCGGUUUUGUGUGUGGAGGAAAGUCAGCGCUGGUGACCGGGCUCUGGGGGAAAACCAGAUCAGAUUUUCUUCUGGCUUCGACUCGUUCACAGGCUGCU
This 1446-nucleotide long non-coding RNA is filed under the name Cairina moschata (Muscovy duck). Its description in RNAcentral is "domestica (muscovy Duck (domestic type)) lncRNA (ENSCMMG00000003446.1)". Lineage: Eukaryota; Metazoa; Chordata; Aves; Anseriformes; Anatidae. The record is from RNAcentral.